This 346-nucleotide long non-coding RNA is filed under the name Manihot esculenta (cassava). RNAcentral's name for it is "long non-coding RNA (MESC_LNC002269)". Lineage: Eukaryota; Viridiplantae; Streptophyta; Magnoliopsida; Malpighiales; Euphorbiaceae. The record is from RNAcentral.
AAUAUCGUUACAUUACAUAUCUAUACAUCAUUAUACAAUCUGUCAUGUCCACAUUCUAACUAUUACAUACAUAUGACUUCAUUACUCUUCUUGACUUCUUUGUCUAACCCGUACCUGCAAACCUGGGGAAUUUGGGAGAGGGGUGAGCUACUAGAGCCCAGUGAGCAGAAUCAUAAAGCAUUUAAAACACAUGCUAUCAUGGAAUGCAUCACAUCACAACUAAUCAUAUCAAGGAUGAACUUGUCACCAUUUAGCCCUCUACAUAUUCCAAUUAUGCCAGGGGCGUAGUGCAGGCCACACCUGGUCUUUCUCUUAUACAUAACAUAACAUAACAUACAUAAUCCAU